Molecule: ribosomal RNA, 507 nt
Filed under: uncultured bacterium
Lineage: Bacteria
Description: partial 16S ribosomal RNA
Rfam family: Bacterial small subunit ribosomal RNA
Source: RNAcentral
ACUCAAAUGAAUUGACGGGGGCUCACACAAGCGGUGGAGCAUGUGGUUCAAUUCGAGGCAACGCGAAGAACCUUACCCAGCCUUGACUACCAAGGAUUAACUCUUGGAAACAGGAGCCACGCCCGCAAGGGUGGAACUUGGAACAGGUGCUGCAUGGCUGUCGUCAGCUCGUGCUGUGAAGUGUCGGGUUAAGUCCCACAACGAGCGAAACCCCUGUCGUCAGUUGCUAACGGGUUAUGCCGAGGACUCUGGCGAGACUGCCGGCGUUAAGCCGGAGGAAGGUGGGGAUGACGUCAAGUCAUCAUGGCCUUUAUGGCUGGGGCUACACACGUGCUACAAUGCCGGGCACAAACCGACGCCAAGCCGCAAGGCGGAGCCAAUCGGAAAAAACCCGGCCCAGUUCGGAUUGUGGGCUGCAAUUCGCCCACAUGAAGCCGGAAUCGCUAGUAAUCGCGGAUCAGCGAUGCCGCGGUGAAUGUGUUCCUGAGCCUUGUACACACCGCCCGU